RNAcentral lists this microRNA precursor (88 nucleotides) under Paramuricea clavata. Lineage: Eukaryota; Metazoa; Cnidaria; Anthozoa; Malacalcyonacea; Plexauridae. The record is from RNAcentral.
CGGUGAGGACAACGGAUGGUUAUGAUGAUGAUGACGAGACGACAACGACGUUGUCGUCUCGUUAUCAUCAUCAUAACCAUUACGAAAU